AAGUAUUGUCUUUACUUAUCUAACUGUGAUAACUCUGUAGGCAAUCGUUCGAAAUAAGAAAUUAAGAAACCUAAAAAUGAAAGCCCUCGUCCUAGUACUAAGCCUAGUCGUUAUUCGUGUGGUGGUGAUUAUUAUCCCACCGUGCGGGGCUGCACUUGGACGAAGAAAGGCUUAAUAAACAAGCCUGAACCUGAAAAGAACCCCCGCACCGAAAGGUACGGGGGUUUUUUUUUGGUCAGAUUAAUUUGUAGCGGAAAGAGGCGGGAGAAAAUAUGAACAACAGCAUAAUAUUCUGCGCUAGUAGCCAAAA
This is a non-coding RNA of Serratia sp. Leaf50, 310 nucleotides long. The record is from Rfam. NCBI's taxonomy places the organism in Bacteria, Pseudomonadati, Pseudomonadota, Gammaproteobacteria, Enterobacterales, Yersiniaceae.